GACGAACGCUGGCGGCGUGCUUAACACAUGCAAGUCGAACGGUGAUCCCCAGCUUGCUGGGGUGAUCAGUGGCGAACGGGUGAGUAACACGUGAGCAACCUGCCCCCGACUCUGGGAUAGCCUCGGGAAACCGGGAUUAAUACCGGAUAUGACACCUCCAGGCAUCUGGUGGUGUGGAAAGUUCUUCGGUCGGGGAUGGGCUCGCGGCCUAUCAGCUUGUUGGUGGGGUGAUGGCCUACCAAGGCGACGACGGGUAGCCGGCCUGAGAGGGUGACCGGCCACACUGGGACUGAGACACGGCCCAGACUCCUACGGGAGGCAGCAGUGGGGAAUAUUGCGCAAUGGGCGAAAGCCUGACGCAGCGACGCCGCGUGAGGGAUGAAGGCC
RNAcentral lists this ribosomal RNA (387 nucleotides) under uncultured bacterium. RNAcentral describes it as "bacterial SSU rRNA". It matches the Rfam family "Bacterial small subunit ribosomal RNA", at positions 28 to 416 of the family's 1533-position model. The record is from RNAcentral.